Long non-coding RNA from Pseudopipra pipra, 5806 nucleotides. RefSeq lists it as uncharacterized. The record is from RefSeq and is a predicted model, not a curated record. NCBI's taxonomy places the organism in Eukaryota, Metazoa, Chordata, Aves, Passeriformes, Pipridae. The transcript is spliced from 2 exons.
GACAGGGAAGACAAACACCAUAACUCCAAAUAUCCCCCUUCCUCCUUCUUCCCCUAGCUUUGUAUUCAGACCAUGAUAUCAUAGGGUAUGGAAUAUCCCUUUAGUCAGUUUGGGUCACCUGUUCCAGCUGUGUCUCCUCCCAGCUUCCUUGCCAGCAAGGCAGUAUGUGUAAGCCCUGCUUAGCAAUAACAAAAACAUCUCUACGUUAUCAAGCCUGUGUUCAGCACAAAUCCAAAACACAGCCCUGUACUAGCCACUGUGAAGAAAAUUAGCUCUCCCUCAACCAAAACCAGCACCCAUCCUCAUUAAUGUGAAGUGUGGGCUCUGUUAAUUGCUCUGCACAGUGUGUUUUGUUUCCCAUGAGGUUGCAGAUGUACUCUGCAGGUAUUGCUGGUGUAAACUGUUAAAGAUUCCAUAAGCAGAUUUCAUCUUCGAAUCAGCAGUACUCAUACCCAUGAAGAAGGUACUUAAAAACCCUUGUCUCUGUUUAAACAGCUGUCUUCUAACUUGCUGAUUUUUGGCUCCUGAAAAUCUCCAUUGAAAAGUAUAAUUUUCUCAGUAUCUUGGCAGGUCCCACUAGUUUGUCCACCAGGUUGCUGCUUUAUGACUCCAUUUUGCCCUUCUAUGCUGUAGAAAUAUGUAGUAAUAUUAGGAAUGUGACAGUUUGUGUGUUUCUUCUGAAUAUGUUUAUUGACUCUGCAAAAGUGGAAAGUGCAUAAAAAUUGCCUCUUACAGUGUGCUCUGCCAGGCUCUGUCUUGCCAUUCACAAGGCACAGGGUCAUCUGUCUCAGGAUAAAUUCUAGUAGGCUAAAAUUUUUAAUUGGGGAUAACAAAAAUAUGUAAAUUACUACUGUAGAAAUAUAGUUUAAGAACCUGAAUUGAAUAUGGAACUAUUUUUUUAAAUCCAAAAAGGAGAAAAAUUAAAGGAACCUGGACAUACUUCUAAUAAGUUAAAUGCCAAGCAUGCUGAUACUGGUGGGACUGAGAAGCAAGUAAAUUCACUUCUGACCCUGCUCAAUCACUGAUAACUUAGAUAAUUAGACCUUUAUGUACUUAGAGCAAAUAAGGCUAAGUGCACAGAGCUGGCCAAAGGCUUCGUGGCAAAGUAGGCAAAAGAAACUGCAGCAGAAGAGGGAAGAAAGGCCAGAAAAGAUCUUACAGAAGGAGGAAGAUGUGAUGGUCAGUUGGACAUUACCAGGCUAUACGUCACCUCAUGGUGCCACAGAAGGAUGUCUCUCAACCUUUGCAUUCACCAGCUUCUCGUAGCAGUCUUUCCUGUCCAUCUUGCAUGUUGGGCAAAGGUUUGAGCUCAUUCCUGUUGCAGCAAGUGUGAGGGAUGAGGCUGAAGAGCGCACACUUAGCUCUUGAUGUUUCAGCCAGCAGUGACGCAAGGGGGAUAGCAAUGGUUGCUGCUAGAAGUCCCUUUCUUCUGUCAGCUGAACACAGUAGCUGUCCCUCAGUUCUCCAGAACAGAGAAAACUGAAAGACUUGAUCUAGACAGCCCCCUUCUUUGAAUUGCACUGUGAUCUGGAGCUGAGUGAAAUAUCAGUCAAGGUAUCUGAACACACUGCUCUGACUGAAAGUUGUCAAGCUUUCAAGCUUGGGCACAAGCUUACCACCACAAGCUGGGACAGUGCCACUCUUUCCUAAUAAAUCCUCAAACCCUGUCUCAUUUAGUCUUUGACUGUGUGACAUCAGUCUUACACUGGCAGAAAGCAGUCAAGAAGAAAAGUGAAAGAAGGCCAUGCAGCUACUGCAAAGCCAAGCUGACUUAUCAGGCAGUAGUAAAUUUUAUUUGGAUGGUGAGAGGAUACUCACACUCAGUGAGAAAAUGAAGUAUUGUUUCUGUACUAAUGGCAGAAAGCAGUGCAAGGCAGUGACUAGAGAUAGAACAGAGUUUGUGCUCACAUAUUGUGCCAGGUUUGAAAAGAAAUCUGAAAUAUCACCUCAGUAAUUUUAGCAAGGUUUGAACCCAGGAAAAGAAACAUAAGCAGAAAUGUAGCUUUUUAUCUUUUCUUACCGGUUAAGAUUUUAUGUGUAGUCAUAGAACCAUUCUCUGACAUUAUGCUAAAAAUUCCUGAAAUCUCCACCAUGAUUGAUGCAAAGUGACUGCAAUGUCUUCUGUAAAGGACUUCUCAGCACAAAGCCCUCUACCUUCUAGGCAGAGUUCGUCUACAUAGUCAACUGCUCAGCAAUCUGCUCAGCUGAAAAAGCACUUUUGAAAUGAGGAACUACUCCAUCAAAUACAGAGACAGAAAUGUUCUAAGCAUUGUGUAACAGCAUCAGAAAUGUAAAAAGCCACUCAGUCCUCAAUAAGUUAUUUUUCAAAAUAGAAAUUUCAGAAGGUGGGUAGAAACAUACAUAUUUCCUUAAUUCAGGAGAUCUAUUUAUAGCUAAAACUACCGAUUUGCUUUCUCUGUAAAAAUUGGAUACAGACCGCUAAAAGAAAAAGGUUAAGUGAUGUUGUAUAGAUCUUUUAUUAUAUGUUCUCUGGAAGAUGGCUGAGGAUGCUUCUUCCAAGAAGUGCUUGCUUUUAUGCAAAUCAGUGAAAUAAUUUACUUUCAUACAAAAGUGGACUUUUUAUUAAUCAAGGAUAUAAGAAAUACUUACAAAUCAAAAAACUUCAUGGAAUUUUUAGUCUGUCUCCAGCCUGAAUGUUUGAACCAUGCACACUGCUGAAAGGAGUCUUGGAACUCCUGGAAUAGCACCUGGGCUUGAGCACAUGUGUGUGAUGAACUGUGUAAAAGAGGCUCAGGCAUUCCAUUGCUGUUAACCAGAUAGGGCCCAGCAAGAGUGCCUGUAUUACAUCAAAAUAUGCAUGUAUAGCUCAUGGCAUAAAUAUGCAUGUGCAUUUGCAGCAAAACACUAGGCAUGUUCACAGGCAUGCAUGUACUUAUAGAUAGAAAGCUGUGAACCUUCCUUAAUCAUUAACUGUGCUUUUAACAUGUCUCUUUUCAUUUGCCCAACGUAGCAAAGGCAAAGUGGAGUGACUUAAAGUGACUGAGGCAAGUGCAGAGAUACCAGAUAGCUAAAUUGAGGCAUUAAGAAAACCAAAAGUGUUAGCAAUCAUUGUUUUAUGGCUUCUGUGGCUGUUUGAUACUGUCCUUGGGAAAAAAGUGCAGUUGGACCAAGGUAUGUGCUAAGCAGAACACUGAUUUUCACAGACAUAGCUAUAUUUUGUGAGACACUAUUUUUUCUGGUUUGCCGUGGUUAGAAAAAUGUGUGACAACCUAGCGCAGAAGAGAAAAGAAACACCCAAAUGCCUUUAUUUCCUUUUGCACUGUGAGCAGUUUACUAUCGAUUGCAGGCCACCACAUAUACUUUUGCCUUGCUGCCCUGCUGAGGUAUCUCUUGGAUUAAAUCUGGCAGAUAUUCAGCCUCUCCAUUGAGGCUGCUCAUUGAAUGGAAAGAGGAAGAAGAGUAUUUUCCAGUAUUGAUAAAGAUAUGAUGUUUUUGAGAGGAACACCUACAGACUCAGGUUUUUCUGUAGGAUUUUUUUUCUUACAAUCUUCUGCCAGUUGGAUUUUUUCUUUGUCUAAAUGAAAUUACUGUGUGUAAAAGAGAGCUGUAACAAAACAACUGUGUUUUGCUGCAAAAGGAUCAUACUAUCUGCGAAGUCAAAAUGCCAUUUUCUUAAUUAGCUCACUUGUAAAACUACUUAACUAAGAACUUGUCUGAUUCUACACAGAAAUGAAGACUAGCAGUAUCUUUAUCUUAUCUCCAGUGUCAGAGAGGUCAAAGCACAGCAAUUCUUCAUCAUGCUCAGUGAAAUGCUGCAGUAGGGAGAGCGUGGUGUAGUUGGCAUGUACCUCAGUAUGUAAUUGCUAUUACCACAACAUAUCCCUACCUGUGGUUUGUGCUGCAGAACAUGUGUUGGGAAGAGGCACCUCUGAAAUAGUGCAAAUUGCAAGUGUGAGUUAUCAACAGCAGGAAUGAAUGGAGGCAGCAGGUUGCAAAACUACCAAGUAUCCCCUUUGCGUACUCCUUAACUUCUGACCUGUGUUUUUGAAAAUUAAAUAAAGACAUCAUUGUUUGUGGCUGUGAUGCCAGCAUUCAGGACGGAACUGGUGGUGGAGAUCUCCUGUUUGCAGUCAGCCUGAAGCUUUGGCAUUUGGAAUUGUUUUCCAGCCAUCUCUUCAGGAUGACAAUGAUACACAGCGUUAUUAGCAUGCAAAUACCAGCUAAAGCUCCUAGGAAAGACAAAGAAAUGUCAAGAUUAUUAAUAGUGGUGCACUGGCUCCCAAAACUUAGUGAAGCUUUGGAGGGUGCCAUCACAUUCCUUGUUUUUCCUGAUUCCCACUGCCUCCCACCUGGUGCUGUGAGAAUGCCUGGAUGCAGCUGCCCCGGGAAUCCACACUUGUCUCGCAUGCAACUCCUCUACAAUGCUCCUGCAGCUUACAUUAUUAAAGAUGAGCUGUGAGGGUAACACCUUCUUUGGAAGGGUACCUGUGCUGCUUUCUUCUUUCCUUUUGGUACAGAAGUCACUAGUUCACUGGUGGCAGUGUGUUCUUCCAGCUAAAAUAACCAUUUUUCUGCCCUUUGUGGUCAAGAGUCUUCUCUGGGAGGAGAUCUAAGUUGCAUUAAGAGCUUGACACAGGGAAGUUUGCAUCAUCAAAACGUCAUGCAAAUGAAGCGCUACAAUGACAGGCUGCUGGGACUCUCCUUGUCCUCCAGGAACUCAAGGUGUUUCUUAGCGUUUCAAGGUACUAUGGAAUCAAAUUUGCUGGAUUUUGCUUACUACAAUACAGACAGCAUUGAAGACUGUAAGGACUUCACCUGAUGAGGAAGGGCAGAGGAGGAGAGAGACACAGUGGCUCGGCAGCAGGGAAUCCUUCUGCCUUGCAGCAGUGGGAUUAAGGCUUCAUAAAUCAGGGAGGGACCCUUGUGCCAGCAGUCUGGCACAGGUCCCCUGCAAAGUUAAGAAAUUUCUUGAGUCAAAAAGGAUGGAAGCAGAUGACUUUUUUUAUUUUUUUAUUUUUUGAUUUUAUUUCACCUUGUGUAUGAGGAAUCAAAAUGGAGACAGUAGUAGCGUCACCAUGGAUAUAGGAAAUGGGGGAAAUGCUUCUACGGGAGCCUUACUGUAGAGGCUCACGGAGUCCUCAGCCCCAAAGGGUGUUCUUGUAAAGUGUGCGGGGGUGAGGCCCUGUGAUUACUUUGUCCUCUCUCGUUCCUGGGAGGAUUUUACAGCUGCAAGGUUUGGAGUUAUUGGUGUUCUUGUUUCUUAUCAAGCAACAAUAUGUUGAAAUAGGAUUAAACUGUUCCUGUGAAGAUAGGAGUUCACUGUGUAUGCAGCUGUGCAAAGUGAAAUUUUGCCAGGCAUAUUAAUCCCUUUAAUAUUAUAAAAGAUUGUCACAGAGUACAGAGAACUUAUGAUUAGGCUAACUAUAGUCGUGCUUUUCAGCCAAUUUUCAUCCUUGUUAUGCUGUUGGAAACUUAAAAAUCAGAGUGUCUUUGAAGCAGUGUAUUUUAUAGUAUCACAGCCCAUCAAACCAGAUUGAUACCUAAGCAUGUGCUCAUGCUCAACCUCUUCCUCUGAGUAGCUUCACUGCUGUCAAGGAGACUGGAAAUGUACUUUAUGUGUGACUGUCAGCCAAAUGUUAAGCAUACAUAAGACACUGCAUGUUUUCUAGCUGUUGGUGCCAUUAGUUAGUCUUUCACAGAAUAAUCUAGGCUGGAUGGGACCUCAUGAUGUCUCUUGUCCAACUUCUGUCUGAAAGCAUGGCCAGCUAUGAAGCCAGGUCAGGUUUCCUCAACACUUUAUCCAGUUGGGUAUUGAAAAUCUUGAUCAUAAAUGUUUCUUACAGAA